GACUCCGUGAAGCUGGAUUCGCUAGUAAUCGCGCAUCAGCCAUGGCGCGGUGAAUACGUUCCCGGGCCUUGUAUACACCGCCCGUCCAAGCCAUGGGAGCCGGGAGCGCUUGAAGUGCGUCGCCGCGAGGCGCGCCCUAGAGCGAGACCGGUGACUGGGGCUAAGUCGUAACAAGGUACC
RNAcentral lists this ribosomal RNA (180 nucleotides) under uncultured bacterium. Its description in RNAcentral is "partial 16S ribosomal RNA". It matches the Rfam family "Bacterial small subunit ribosomal RNA", at positions 1314 to 1500 of the family's 1533-position model. The record is from RNAcentral.